GAACGCUGGCGGCGUGCCUAAUACAUGCAAGUCGAACGCACAGCGAAAGGUGCUUGCACCUUUCAAGUGAGUGGCGAACGGGUGAGUAACACGUGGACAACCUGCCUCAAGGCUGGGGAUAACAUUUGGAAACAGAUGCUAAUACCGAAUAAAACUUAGUGUCGCAUGACACAAAGUUAAAAGGCGCUUCGGCGUCACCUAGAGAUGGAUCCGCGGUGCAUUAGUUAGUUGGUGGGGUAAAGGCCUACCAAGACAAUGAUGCAUAGCCGAGUUGAGAGACUGAUCGGCCACAUUGGGACUGAGACACGGCCCAAACUCCUACGGGAGGCUGCAGUAGGGAAUCUUCCACAAUGGGCGAAAGCCUGAUGGAGCAACGCCGCGUGUGUGAUGAAGGCUUUCGGGUCGUAAAGCACUGUUGUAUGGGAAGAACAGCUAGAAUAGGAAAUGAUUUUAGUUUGACGGUACCAUACCAGAAAGGGACGGCUAAAUACGUGCCAGCAGCCGCGGUAAUACGUAUGUCCCGAGCGUUAUCCGGAUUUAUUGGGCGUAAAGCGAGCGCAGACGGUUUAUUAAGUCUGAUGUGAAAGCCCGGAGCUCAACUCCGGAAUGGCAUUGGAAACUGGUUAACUUGAGUGCAGUAGAGGUAAGUGGAACUCCAUGUGUAGCGGUGGAAUGCGUAGAUAUAUGGAAGAACACCAGUGGCGAAGGCGGCUUACUGGACUGCAACUGACGUUGAGGCUCGAAAGUGUGGGUAGCAAACAGGAUUAGAUACCCUGGUAGUCCACACCGUAAACGAUGAACACUAGGUGUUAGGAGGUUUCCGCCUCUUAGUGCCGAAGCUAACGCAUUAAGUGUUCCGCCUGGGGAGUACGACCGCAAGGUUGAAACUCAAAGGAAUUGACGGGGACCCGCACAAGCGGUGGAGCAUGUGGUUUAAUUCGAAGCAACGCGAAGAACCUUACCAGGUCUUGACAUCCUUUGAAGCUUUUAGAGAUAGAAGUGUUCUCUUCGGAGACAAAGUGACAGGUGGUGCAUGGUCGUCGUCAGCUCGUGUCGUGAGAUGUUGGGUUAAGUCCCGCAACGAGCGCAACCCUUAUUGUUAGUUGCCAGCAUUCAGAUGGGCACUCUAGCGAGACUGCCGGUGACAAACCGGAGGAAGGCGGGGACGACGUCAGAUCAUCAUGCCCCUUAUGACCUGGGCUACACACGUGCUACAAUGGCGUAUACAACGAGUUGCCAACCCGCGAGGGUGAGCUAAUCUCUUAAAGUACGUCUCAGUUCGGAUUGUAGUCUGCAACUCGACUACAUGAAGUCGGAAUCGCUAGUAAUCGCGGAUCAGCACGCCGCGGUGAAUACGUUCCCGGGUCUUGUACACACCGCCCGUCACACCAUGGGAGUUUGUAAUGCCCAAAGCCGGUGGCCUAACCUUUUAGGAAGGAGCCGUCUAAGGCAGGACAGAUGACUGG
This 1466-nucleotide ribosomal RNA is filed under the name Leuconostoc mesenteroides subsp. mesenteroides. RNAcentral's name for it is "bacterial SSU rRNA". It matches the Rfam family "Bacterial small subunit ribosomal RNA". Lineage: Bacteria; Bacillati; Bacillota; Bacilli; Lactobacillales; Lactobacillaceae. The record is from RNAcentral.